Molecule: microRNA precursor, 102 nt
Filed under: Marmota monax (woodchuck)
Lineage: Eukaryota; Metazoa; Chordata; Mammalia; Rodentia; Sciuridae
Source: RNAcentral
AGUGGGAUAGCUGGGUCAAAUAGUGAUUCCAUUCUCAAUUUUCUAAGGAAUCUCAUACUGCUCUCCAUAGUUGUUGCACCAAUUUGCAUUCCCACCAGCAAU